AGAUUUUAUAAUGAAGAAAAUAAUAAGAUCUGAGAGCUACGGAGAAAAAGGGUUGGCUUCUGAUUGGUUCUGAUUCGACAAGUGCUCUCUCUGGAUACGCAGACGAAUUAGCGGAGACAACGCCCAGAUUUAAAGACUAAUUGUAAAUAUAUACCUCUUCUAAAUAACCCGGAAUAAUAUUAGUUGAUUAAUUAAUUAAAUGGAAAUGUCUCAUUCUGAGCGAAAUAGUUAUAUUUUACGGUAUUUAUGAAAAAAAAUGGCAGACAACAUUUUGGAAAUGGCAGGACUAGGGUAAUUCUGUGAUUAUUGAUUCAUAAAUAAUAUUGCUAAAAUCAUUUUCCAUUGCCACAAACUAUUUUUAAGGUCAAAGACGACUUUGAAGUCAUCAGUAAAUAUGUAUUAUUCCAGGUUUAUUCAUGAGAGGAUAAUUAAUAAUUAUAACUAUUAAUAAUUUUGACUAAACAAAUAAUUCCAGAAAUUUUAAAUGUACAAAUUUAAUAGAUUUUGCGCAAUAUACAAUUUCUGGCUUCACAUAAGAACUAUGUCUAAGUCUGUUUUUCCUAAUACCAAGUCUACCUAAAACUCGAAUCUUUACUAAAGCCGGGGUUUACUCGUGUUUAAAAUGUUAAAGGCUGUCAUAUCAUAGUUCAAACUGUAUUUGAUCUUUGUCGAGGUUGAACAUAAUCUUAUGAUUAUAAUAAACACUUCUAGGAGAACUAUUAUAUAUUUAUUAAAUAAAUCUGUAGGAAAUCUACCAACAUGAGUAGGAA
Molecule: long non-coding RNA, 770 nt
Organism: Eurytemora carolleeae
Lineage: Eukaryota; Metazoa; Arthropoda; Copepoda; Calanoida; Temoridae
Exons: 2
Source: RefSeq, a predicted model, not a curated record